CCCCCCCGGCGCGAUGGGCGCCAAGGAACACAGCGGUCGGAGGGAGACGGCGGCGCUGCUAGCAAUACGGCUUGCGGAGCCUCCGCCCCGCCCUCCUUUACCGGACAGUAUAUGAAUUUUAUGACUCUCGGCAACGGAUAUCUCGGCUCUCGCAUCGAUGAAGAACGUAGCGAAAUGCGAUACUUGGUGUGAAUUGCAGAAUCCCGCGAACCAUCGAGUCUUUGAACGCAAGUUGCGCCCGAGGCCACCCGGCCGAGGGCACGCCUGCCUGGGCGUCACGCCUCUCGUCGCUCCGCCUACCUCCCCCUGAGCACACCGUGCUCGUGCGGCGACGGGCGGCGGAUGCGGAGAUUGGCCCUCCGUGCCUUGCGGUGCGGUGGGUCGAAGUGUCGGUCGCCGGCCGGGCGUGGCACGGCGAGUGGUGGACGGACUAGCUCCCGAGCGCCGGACGCCGUGAAAUACCAUCCCGAUGCCGGGUAUAUGACCGAGAUGAUAAGAACCCAGACCGAAGGGCGCAACGCGCCAUCGGAU
Molecule: ribosomal RNA, 531 nt
Filed under: Haworthia tortuosa
Lineage: Eukaryota; Viridiplantae; Streptophyta; Magnoliopsida; Asparagales; Asphodelaceae
Description: eukaryotic LSU rRNA
Rfam family: 5.8S ribosomal RNA (bases 123-278)
Source: RNAcentral